This 786-nucleotide ribosomal RNA is filed under the name uncultured Nannocystis sp. RNAcentral's name for it is "bacterial SSU rRNA". It matches the Rfam family "Bacterial small subunit ribosomal RNA", at positions 8 to 796 of the family's 1533-position model. The record is from RNAcentral. Lineage: Bacteria; Pseudomonadati; Myxococcota; Nannocystales; Nannocystaceae.
AGAGUUUGAUCAUGGCUCAGAGCGAACGUUUGCGGCGGGCCUAACACAUGCAAGUCGAACGCACUAGCAAUAGUGAGUGGCGCACGGGUGCGUAACACGUGGGUAAUCAACCCUUCAGCUUGGGAUAACGACUUGAAAGGGUCGCUAAUACCGGAUACGGCGCGAGAGGCUUCGGCAUCUCACGAGAAAGCCUCGCAAGGGGCACUGAAGGACGAGCCUGCGGCCCAUCAGCUAGUUGGUGAGGUAAGAGCUCACCAAGGCUAAGACGGGUAGCUGGUCUGAGAGGAUGAUCAGCCACACUGGAACUGAGACACGGUCCAGACUCCUACGGGAGGCAGCAGUGGGGAAUAUUGCGCAAUGGGCGAAAGCCUGACGCAGCCACGCCGCGUGAGCGAUGAAGGCCUUCGGGUCGUAAAGCUCUGUGGGGAGAGACGAAGAAAGCCCGUGAAGAGCGGGCCUUGACGGUAUCUCCUUAGCAAGCACCGGCUAACUCCGUGCCAGCAGCCGCGGUAAUACGGAGGGUGCAAACGUUGCUCGGAAUCAUUGGGCGUAAAGCGCACGUAGGCGGCGAAGCAAGUUGGGUGUGAAAGCCCUGGGCUCAACCCAGGAAGUGCAUUCAAAACUGCUUCGCUUGAAUCUCGGAGGGGGUCAGAGAAUUCCCGGUGUAGAGGUGAAAUUCGUAGAUAUCGGGAGGAAUACCAGUGGCGAAGGCGCUGACCUGGACGAAGAUUGACGCUGAGGUGCGAAAGCGCGGGGAGCAAACAGGAUUAGAUACCCCCGUAGUCC